RNAcentral lists this ribosomal RNA (406 nucleotides) under uncultured bacterium. RNAcentral's name for it is "partial 16S ribosomal RNA". It matches the Rfam family "Bacterial small subunit ribosomal RNA", at positions 30 to 526 of the family's 1533-position model. The record is from RNAcentral.
AUUGAACGCUGGCGGCAGGCCUAACACAUGCAAGUCGAACGAGUGGCGGACGGGUGAGUAAUGUCUGGGAACCUGCCUGAUGGCUGGGGAUAACUACUGGAACCGGUAGCUAAUACCGCAUACCAGUAGAUGUGCCAUGAUGGGAUUAGGGAGUUGGUGGGGUAACGGCUCACCAAGGCGAAGAUCCCUAGCUGGUCUGAGAGGAUGACCGGCCACACUGGAACUGAGACACGGUCCAGACUCCUACGGGAGGCAGCAGUGGGGAAUAUUGCACAAUGGGCGCAAGCCUGAUGCAGCCAUGCCGCGUGUAUGAAGAAGGCCUUCGGGUUGUAAAGUACUUUCAGCGGGGAGGCGUUACCCGCAGAAGAAGCACCGGCUAACUCCGUGCCAGCAGCCGCGGUAAUUC